CGGGAAGAUUCAAAAUCGCGAACCGUUACUGCAUGGAUUACUCUCGAUCUCUUUGUUUGCUCAUCGACAUUACGAGGUCAUGUACACUGUGGUCAACUUUGUGGACGAUGAAGAGGUUUCUGGGUAAAGAUUAUAGAAAUAUAACAAAGUAACAGUGAAAGCUAAAACAUCAGACUGAUCCAGACACUGAAGAAAUUGAUGUCACUGCAAUCUGGCCAAAAUGAUACAACAAUAUUGAACUAGCCUACUGUAAUGAAGCUGCAGAACAACACAGAGACUCUGAGGACAUCAACACAGAAAAUUAAGGCUCCAAAGAGAUGUCUGUCCAGAUGAGGGUGCAUCAACUUUACCUUUGCUGACAACAGUUAACUUAACUCAAACCAUUUAAGGAAAUCGGUUGCCUUAAACCAUUAAGUUUUAAAAAACAUACAUUUGAGUACUGUGAACUUAAGUCUUGUGCAAUUAUGCACUUAUAUUUAGGUAGUGUGAACUUAAAUAUAAGUGCAUAACUGCAUGUGACUCAAUUUUUUUAAGUUCACAGUACUCAAAUCUAUGUGUUUUAAAACUUGAAUGGUUUAAUGCAACCGGUUUUCUUAAAUGUGAGAAAUGACAGUGUUACAGUGAGAAAUGUUUGAUUAAUUCCAAGACAGAGCUCUGCUAUUGAAUCUACACUGCAAAAAAUCAGUUUCUAACUUAGGAUUUUUAUCUUGUUUUCAGUAGAAAAACUAAAAAUUCUUAAAUCAAGAUGUAUUUUCUUGAUGAGCAAAAUUACCUUAGAAAAUAUGUGGUUUUUAGACAAAAAUAUACAAUUUAAGUAAAUUUGUGCCUAAACAAGCAAAAAUAUCUUAACUCUUUCCCCGCCAUUGACGAGAUAUCUCGUCAAUUAAGAGAAAACGCUUCCCCGCCAAUGACGAGAUUUUCCGUCUUUCCGCAAUACCGCUAUUAUCCACCAGGUGGCGCCCUUCCGCAACUUUUUAAAACCGGAAGUAUUGCCCUAUGGCAAGCUGCUGCAUGUCCGUGUCUGUUUUAAAGAUCGCUCUGAAUGGGAUCUCUAUGAAAAGUCCGUCAUAAAAAUGGAAUUAUCUCUGCUUUUUGCUCAAAAUAUGGUAUUUUUGCAAAAACCUACCCAUAUUCAAAAGCUGAUUGCAAAAGAACCACUAAAGGUAGGAUGAAACAUUUUUUUUUGUUUGAAAGCAGAGGGUCUGUUCUUUCAUUUGGUAUAUUGUAUGUUUAUAUAUUUAAAGAAGA
Molecule: long non-coding RNA, 1248 nt
Organism: Paramisgurnus dabryanus
Lineage: Eukaryota; Metazoa; Chordata; Actinopteri; Cypriniformes; Cobitidae
Source: RefSeq, a predicted model, not a curated record